RNAcentral lists this ribosomal RNA (255 nucleotides) under uncultured bacterium. RNAcentral describes it as "partial 16S ribosomal RNA". It matches the Rfam family "Bacterial small subunit ribosomal RNA", at positions 524 to 777 of the family's 1533-position model. The record is from RNAcentral.
UACGUAGGUGGCAAGCGUUGUCCGGAAUUAUUGGGCGUAAAGCGCGCGCAGGUGGUUCUUUAAGUCUGAUGUGAAAGCCCACGGCUCAACCGUGGAGGGUCAUUGGAAACUGGGGAACUUGAGUGCAGAAGAGGAUAGUGGAAUUCCAAGUGUAGCGGUGAAAUGCGUAGAGAUUUGGAGGAACACCAGUGGCGAAGGCGACUAUCUGGUCUGUAACUGACACUGAGGCGCGAAAAGCGUGGGGAGCAAACAGGG